CGGAGGAUGCGAGCGUUAUCCGGAUUUAUUGGGUUUAAAGGGUGCGUAGGUGGUGAUUUAAGUCAGCGGUGAAAGUUUGUGGCUCAACCAUAAAAUUGCCGUUGAAACUGGGUUACUUGAGUGUGUUUGAGGUAGGCGGAAUGCGUGGUGUAGCGGUGAAAUGCAUAGAUAUCACGCAGAACUCCGAUUGCGAAGGCAGCUUACUAAACCAUAACUGACACUGAAGCACGAAAGCGUGGGGAUCAA
This 246-nucleotide ribosomal RNA is filed under the name uncultured bacterium. RNAcentral describes it as "partial 16S ribosomal RNA". It matches the Rfam family "Bacterial small subunit ribosomal RNA", at positions 526 to 771 of the family's 1533-position model. The record is from RNAcentral.